GGGUUGUGAGGUUAAGCGACUAAGCGUACACGGUGGAUGCCCUGGCAGUCAGAGGCGAUGAAGGGCGUGCUAAUCUGCGAUAAGCGCCGGUAAGGUGAUAUGAACCGUUAUAACCGGCGAUACCCGAAUGGGGAAACCCAGUGUGACUCGUCACACUAUCAUUAACUGAAUCCAUAGGUUAAUGAGGCGAACCGGGGGAACUGAAACAUCUAAGUACCCCGAGGAAAAUAAAUCAACCGAGAUUCCCCCAGUAGCGGCGAGCGAACGGGGAGGAGCCCAGAGCCUGAAUCAGCAUGUGUGUUAGUGGAAGCGUCUGGAAAGGCGCGCGAUACAGGGUGACAGCCCCGUACACAAAAGCGCAUGUGCUGUGAGCUCGAUGAGUAGGGCGGGACACGUGGUAUCCUGUCUGAAUAUGGGGGGACCAUCCUCCAAGGCUAAAUACUCCUGACUGACCGAUAGUGAACCAGUACCGUGAGGGAAAGGCGAAAAGAACCCCGGCGAGGGGAGUGAAAAAGAACCUGAAACCGUGUACGUACAAGCAGUGGGAGCCCCACCACCAAAGCAUUCUCUGGUGUUGAAGGCCCUGCAAAGCAGCAUCGCGGUGGCGGAGCGUCGUUUGCGACGCCCAACACACAAAACAAGCGGUGAGUGCUUUGGGGUGGGGUGACUGCGUACCUUUUGUAUAAUGGGUCAGCGACUUAUAUUCUGUAGCAAGGUUAACCGAAUAGGGGAGCCGGAGGGAAACCGAGUCUUAAUUGGGCGUUAAGUUGCAGGGUAUAGACCCGAAACCCGGUGAUCUAGCCAUGGGCAGGUUGAAGGUUGGGUAACACUAACUGGAGGACCGAACCGACUAAUGUUGAAAAAUUAGCGGAUGACCUGUGGCUGGGGGUGAAAGGCCAAUCAAACCGGGAGAUAGCUGGUUCUCCCCGAAAGCUAUUUAGGUAGCGCCUCGUGAAUUCAUCUCCGGGGGUAGAGCACUGUUUCGGCUAGGGGGUCAUCCCG
RNAcentral lists this ribosomal RNA (1002 nucleotides) under Salmonella enterica. RNAcentral describes it as "partial 23S ribosomal RNA". It matches the Rfam family "Bacterial large subunit ribosomal RNA", at positions 1 to 933 of the family's 2925-position model. Lineage: Bacteria; Pseudomonadati; Pseudomonadota; Gammaproteobacteria; Enterobacterales; Enterobacteriaceae. The record is from RNAcentral. RNAcentral also lists the same sequence under 1 other name.